This 468-nucleotide ribosomal RNA is filed under the name uncultured bacterium. Its description in RNAcentral is "partial 16S ribosomal RNA". It matches the Rfam family "Bacterial small subunit ribosomal RNA", at positions 28 to 507 of the family's 1533-position model. The record is from RNAcentral.
GACGAACGCUGGCGGCGUGCCUAACACAUGCAAGUCGAACGGAAAGGCCCUGCUUUUGUGGGGCGGUCGAGUGGCGAAGGGGUGAGUAACACGUGAGUAACAUGCCCCUGACUUUGGGAUAUCUUCAGGAAACUGGGGCUAUUACCGGAUAGGAGCUCUUGCUGCAUGGUGGGGGCUGGUAAGUUUCGGCGGUUGGGGAUGGACUCGCGGCUUAUGAGCUUGUUGGGGGGGUAGUGGCUUACCAAGGUUUUGACGGGUAGGCGGCCUGGGAGGGUGACCAGCCACAUUGGGACUGAGAUAGGGACCAGACUCCUACGGGAGGCAGCAGUGGGGAAUAUUGCACAAUGGGCGGAAGCCUGAUGCAGCAACGCCGCGUGCGGGAUGACGGCCUUCGGGUUGUAAACCGAUUUCGCCUGUGACGAGGCGUGAGUGACGGUAAUGGGUAAAGAAGCACCGGCUAACUACGUG